This 108-nucleotide small nucleolar RNA is filed under the name Olea europaea subsp. europaea. RNAcentral describes it as "Plant small nucleolar RNA R71". It matches the Rfam family "Plant small nucleolar RNA R71". Rfam says of the family: R71 is a member of the C/D box family of snoRNAs containing the C (UGAUGA) and D (CUGA) box motifs. Multiple nearly identical copies of this snoRNA have been identified in Arabidopsis, and it is thought to function as a 2'-O-ribose methylation guide for 18S ribosomal RNA. The record is from Rfam by way of RNAcentral. Lineage: Eukaryota; Viridiplantae; Streptophyta; Magnoliopsida; Lamiales; Oleaceae.
UAACCAUGGUGGGGGCAAAUGACUUGCAAUUCCUUGUAUCUUUCCCAUGCUUGGUUUAAAGUCUCAUUAUCCUUUUGGGUCAAUGAAGAAAUUUUCUUCCUCAAGGCA